CCUACGGGUGACAGCAGUGAGGAAUAUUGGUCAAUGGGCGUAAGCCUGAACCAGCCAAGUCGCGUGAGGGAUGAAGGUUCUAUGGAUCGUAAACCUCUUUUAUCAGGGAAUAAAGGGUGGGACGUGUCCUGUUUUGUAUGUACCUUAUGAAAAAGGAUCGGCUAACUCCGUGCCAGCAGCCGCGGGAAUACGGAGGAUCCGAGCGUUAUCCGGAUUUAUUGGGGUUAAAGGGUGCGUAGGCGGCCUUUUAAGGCAGCGGGUAAAGUCUGGGGCUCAACCCUAGAAUUGCCGUUGAAACUGGGAGGCUUGAGUAUGUGUGAGGUAGGCGGAAUGCGUGGUGUAGCGGUGAAAUGCUUAGAUAUCACGCAGAACCCCGAUUGCGAAGGCAGCCUGCCAGGCCAUGACUGACGCUGAUGCACGAAAGCGUGGGUAUCGAACAGGAUUAGAUACCCCAGUAGUC
This 460-nucleotide ribosomal RNA is filed under the name uncultured bacterium. RNAcentral describes it as "partial 16S ribosomal RNA". It matches the Rfam family "Bacterial small subunit ribosomal RNA", at positions 338 to 795 of the family's 1533-position model. The record is from RNAcentral.